Molecule: ribosomal RNA, 549 nt
Filed under: uncultured bacterium
Lineage: Bacteria
Description: bacterial SSU rRNA
Rfam family: Bacterial small subunit ribosomal RNA
Source: RNAcentral
UAGGGAAUCUUCGGCAAUGGACGGAAGUCUGACCGAACAACGCCGCGUGAGUGAAGAAGGUUUUCGGAUCGUAAAGCUCUGUUGUAAGAGAAGAACGAGUGUGAGAGUGGAAAGUUCACACUGUGACGGUAUCUUACCAGAAAGGGACGGCUAACUACGUGCCAGCAGCCGCGGUAAUACGUAGGUCCCGAGCGUUGUCCGGAUUUAUUGGGCGUAAAGCGAGCGCAGGCGGUUAGAUAAGUCUGAAGUUAAAGGCUGUGGCUUAACCAUAGUACGCUUUGGAAACUGUUUAACUUGAGUGCAAGAGGGGAGAGUGGAAUUCCAUGUGUAGCGGUGAAAUGCGUAGAUAUAUGGAGGAACACCGGUGGCGAAAGCGGCUCUCUGGCUUGUAACUGACGCUGAGGCUCGAAAGCGUGGGGAGCAAACAGGAUUAGAUACCCUGGUAGUCCACGCCGUANCGAUGAGUGCUAGGUGUUAGACCCUUUCCGGGGUUUAGUGCCGCAGCUAACGCAUUAAGCACUCCGCCUGGGGAGUACGACCGCAAGGUUG